AGGGACAGCAACAGGCACAAAAGAAUAACACCCAGUGCCUGUCUUUGAGGUGCUGCAGUUCGGUAGGAGUAAGAAAUGCAAAUGAGCGCCCAGCAGGCUGAGUUCCUCCAAGUUCCAGUGUGGGUGCAGAGGGUCUCUGUGCGCAGGUGCCUUUGGGGCCCCACAGAGGCCAGGGAAGGGCUAGGGGAUGGUUCUGGGAAGUGAGGGUUCGGAGCAGCCCCUUUCCUGUGCCCCACUUCUGAAAGCCUCCUUACUCCCCUGUGGCCCACUCUGUCUUCCAGAGAGAGGGGCUGAACUGCGAGGUGGCCACCAACACAGAGGCCCUACAGAGCGGCAGGACAGAGAUAUGGAGCUCUACAGCUCUGUGCAGAACCUGAACUGUCCCAGCUCAGCCAGCAUCGCUGGAGGGCAGCCUGGUGGAGGCGGAGGUAUGUUACGAGACCCAGCUGGCCCAGUUGCAGGGGCUCAUCAGAAGCAUGGAGUAGCAGCUAUGCGAGCUCUGCUGUGACACGAGGACCACGAGCACCAGGUCCUUCUGGAUGUGAAGACAUGGCUGGAGCAGGAGGUUGCCACCUACCGCCGCUUGCUGGAGGUUGAGGACGCCCAGUGGGUGUGCACCUGGGUACCUGCUGGGGUGGGCUGGGGCCCGCUUCACCCAGGGAGAAGUUGGUGUCUGAGCACCAGCGAAGUCCAGGAGGUGUGAACGUGGGAACCUGUGGGGGUUUGCAGGAGGUGAAACUGAGGAUGCAGGCUGGAGUCUGACUGAGGAGCCUUGAAUGCCAAGUUAAAGCGUCUGGACUAGAUCACGUAGGCAAUGGGGAGCCAUGGAGGGAUUUGGAGCAGAGGAAGGGAAUGAACAUCAAGAUAUUUUAGAACAUUCACUCUGGCUGCAGAGGGAGAAAUGGAUCAGAGGGGUCAGGCUGGGGCCAGAGAGAUGCAUCGGGGGCGGGAGCAGGGAGUCUGGCCAGAGAAGUCCUGCGUGGGGGGCAGGGGAAGGAAGGUGGUACACACAGAAGAGAGGCUAUAGCUCAAAACAGCAGGACUGCAUGCCUGGAUCUUGGGGUGAGCGUGGCUCACAGUCAGGACUCAGUAAGUGUCAGGUGAACACAUGAAGGAGUGGGCAUUGAUGGCCCUGGGUUUCUGGUUCCGAUGACUGUGUGAGUGGUGAUACCAUCAGCCACAGGGUGAGGAGCAAGGUGGGCGGUGGUCAGGUUUGCAGUCGGGAAGGGUGAUCAGGCCUGCCGUUGAGAGUGUUCUGGAGUCUCCAUGCUUAGUCACACGUUGCAGCUUUUUGCUCCCCGAAAAUGGUGAAGUCCAUCUAUAGUCUAACCACAGUGUCUCCUGCUUUAAUUGCGUUUAUUUGUUGGGUCCUCUGGGAUAUGGAAAAGCCACUUGCUCUGCUUCUCCUUGUAAAUUCCUGGUGAGUAGUCACACAGUGCUGCCAGGCCUACGCUGUGCUGUUUCUUUUUCUUCUUCCCGCUGCGCAGGGCCCCUGCCCUUUCAUUCCUGGGCCUGUGCUGAUUUCUGUGCAUUCCCAGCUGCCAUUUUUCACCAAUUUGGGGGAACCUCCUCUGCCAGGGCCUGCUUCUCCCCAGCAGUGCUUGCAGGGGCCUGGGCUGGCUGGCAUCCCCGGGCUGAUGGGUGCUCCUCUCCCUGCAGGCUGGCCACUCAGUACUCCUUGUCCCUGGCCUCACAGCCCACCUGGGAAGGUAAGAAGCUGCCCUGUCCUGCUGUGUGGACCCCAAGGCAGGGGAGAGGCUGAGGACCCUUCUGUGUGUGAGACUGGGGGGAACACAGACUGGGGGACAGGUAGGGGGAAGAGCUCCUGCCUGAUGUUCCCUGCGCCCCCCCGCCUCCAUCGCCUGCAGCCACAGUGACCAGCCACCAGCUGUGCCAUCGUGGUGGAAGUCCAGGUUGGAGAGGUGGCCUCCUUCUGUGAGCAGAUCCAACUCUCCACCACCGAGGCCCCUUUCUGCCUAUGACAGCCCCACCUCACGGGCCACGGCACAGCCCUCAGCUCCAGCUCCAGCAUGACGCUGCCAUGCCGCGAGUGUCCGACUGGGCCCCGGUCCAUGGCCUGUGGUCUUUCUGUAUCUGCUUCCUGUAGCCCCACACUGAGGAGGCCUCCUGGGUUUGUCCAGUGCCUGCUAUUAAAGCUUUGCCCCAAGUUCAAUGCCUCCUGUGAUCUGGUCUAUUCAUUGGUUUGGGGCAGUGUGGGCUGAGGGACUGGGGGAGGUGGAGAAUUUAC
This 2248-nucleotide long non-coding RNA is filed under the name Macaca fascicularis (crab-eating macaque). Its description in RNAcentral is "lncRNA (ENSMFAG00000057694.1)". The record is from RNAcentral. Lineage: Eukaryota; Metazoa; Chordata; Mammalia; Primates; Cercopithecidae.